UUAAGCCACCUAGUUCAUGGUAAUUUGUUACGGUGGCCCCAGAGACCCUAUAUACUGGGUGACCCCGGACAAGUCCUCUCCUUUUCAGCCCCCUCCACGCGGCUGCCGGGGCCCCUGCUCACUGGCCCCGGAUGCCAGCCGGCCAGGGACCCUUCCAGGACCUGUGGGGCAUGGAGGGCCAGGGAGACUCCCCGGGGACAGCACUGGGUGGGCCCGGCAGGUCUGUGUCUGUCUGUACAGACAUGCUGGGGGGCUGGGGUCAGGAGAUGCGUAGACCUUGGUGCCCUGGACGAGACGCCAUUACCUUUGGGGCCUCAGUUUUCCUCUUCUGUAAGGUGAGAGCCCUCUUGCCUCCUGGAUGAGCUGUGAGCAUUCACGGGGUUUCACCUAUAGACACGGAAGGUCCUUCAUCUGUCCUGGGCUCGCUCAGGAGUGUCGCUGUUUUGCAAGGCUGAAGUCUGAGUCCCUCAGAGGUGAGCACCCGGCCGUAUGCCUCGGUGAACCUAUAAUGAGGGUCACGGCCCCCCACAAAACCACAGUCCCGGCACUGUUGGGAAACUACCCCUUUCUGACGGUUGAGGCAUUCGGGUUUGGAGACACUGCUUUGAGGCUUUGGUGGGCUGCAGGGGGGAGGGAGGGGAGGUGAUCCUGUCCAUCCCUCUGCCCUCAGCCUAAACCCAAGCACUUGCUGCCCUUGGGGGGCGACUAGGACAUCCCUAGUGCCCCACUUUUCCUUCCCGCCCAAUGAGAUAAGGCGUGCCUAUUCACCCCUUGGCUCAGAAGGUUUUUUCAUUCUGUACAAGCGUGCGUGUGGAGCCCGCUCUUGACGGUCUAAAACAGUUCCGCUUUCACAGAACUGUGAUCAUUUUGGGAAAGGGGGUCUGUUACGAGUAUAUCUUGGCCUGGGUGUUUCUUUAAACAUCUGGGCGAAUGUUCACAUAAAUCAGGUCACACUACUCAGGGGAGAAGGAACCCUGGACUGGCUUCUGUCCCCAUUUUUGGUUUGGAAAAUGUUUUUCCAAGCCCCACCUACACUGAUCCGAGGUCAUCCGUGGCAAAAGAGAAACAGCCAGCCCGGGCUUCCAGAUGGUAAAAAGUCACUUUUUUGGGGGGUAAUAUUUAACCCAUCUUAUCACAUAGGUCCAGGGGAAAGGAUUCAGGCUUUGAAAGCUACUGAUUCAGGGGCAGCCUCAGACUGGCUGUGCGGCUUUGGGUGAGUCCCUGGACUUCCUCUGAAACCUGGUUCUUGAGGGUAGAGGUAGGGCAUGGUUACGCCUGGAUAGGUUUUUGUUUUCUGGUUUGAGCUUUUUUUCUUUUUUUUCCCCCUGUUUAAAAAUAAAGGUGAAAUUUAUAUCA
RNAcentral lists this long non-coding RNA (1356 nucleotides) under Felis catus (domestic cat). RNAcentral's name for it is "lncRNA (ENSFCAG00000048755.1)". Lineage: Eukaryota; Metazoa; Chordata; Mammalia; Carnivora; Felidae. The record is from RNAcentral.